RNAcentral lists this ribosomal RNA (465 nucleotides) under uncultured bacterium. RNAcentral's name for it is "partial 16S ribosomal RNA". It matches the Rfam family "Bacterial small subunit ribosomal RNA", at positions 28 to 507 of the family's 1533-position model. The record is from RNAcentral.
GACGAACGCUGGCGGCGUGCUUAACACAUGCAAGUCGAACGGAAAGGCCCUGCUUGCAGGGUACUCGAGUGGCGAACGGGUGAGUAACACGUGGGUGAUCUGCCCUGCACUUCGGGAUAAGCCUGGGAAACUGGGUCUAAUACCGGAUAGGAGCCAUUUUUAGUGUGAUGGUUGGAAAGUUUUUUCGGUGUAGGAUGAGCUCGCGGCCUAUCAGCUUGUUGGUGGGGUAAUGGCCUACCAAGGCGGCGACGGGUAGCCGGCCUGAGAGGGUGGACGGCCACAUUGGGACUGGGAUACGGCCCAGACUCCUACGGGAGGCAUCGGUGGGGAAUAUUGCACAAUGGGCGCAAGCCUGAUGCAGCGACGCCGCGUGGGGGAUGACGGCCUUCGGGUUGUAAACUCCUUUCGCUAGGGACGAAGCUUUAUGUGACGGUACCUAGAUAAGAAGCACCGGCUAACUACGUG